RNAcentral lists this ribosomal RNA (465 nucleotides) under uncultured bacterium. RNAcentral's name for it is "partial 16S ribosomal RNA". It matches the Rfam family "Bacterial small subunit ribosomal RNA", at positions 28 to 507 of the family's 1533-position model. The record is from RNAcentral.
GACGAACGCUGGCGGCGUGCUUAACACAUGCAAGUCGAACGGAAAGGCCCUGCUUGCAGGGUACUCGAGUGGCGAACGGGUGAGUAACACGUGGGUGAUCUGCCCUGCACUUCGGGAUAAGCCUGGGAAACUGGGUCUAAUACCGGAUAGGAGCCAUUUUUAGUGUGAUGGUUGGAAAGUUUUUUCGGUGUAGGAUGAGCUCUCGGCCUAUCAGCUUGUUGGUGGGGUAAUGGCCUACCAAGGCGGCGACGGGUAGCCGGCCUGAGAGGGUGGACGGCCACAUUGGGACUGAGAUACGGCCCAGACUCCUACGGGAGGCAGCAGUGGGGAAUAUUGCACAAUGGGCGCAAGCCUGAUGCAGCGACGCCGCGUGGGGGAUGACGGCCUUCGGGUUGUAAACUCCUUUCGCUAGGGACGAAGCUUUUUGUGACGGUACCUAGAUAAGAAGCACCGGCUAACUACGUG